UACGUAGGGUGCGAGCGUUAAUCGGAAUUACUGGGCGUAAAGCGCGCGUAGGCGGUUUUGCAAGCCAGAGGUGAAAUGCCUGAGCUUAACUUAGGAAUUGCCUUUGGGACUGCGAGGCUUUGAGGACGAGAGAGGUGAGUGGAAUUCCCAGUGUAGAGGUGAAAUUCGUAGAUAUUGGGAAGAACACCGGUGGCGAAGGCGGCUCACUGGCUCGUUUCUGACGCUGUAGCGCGAAAGCGUGGGGAUCAAACAGG
This 254-nucleotide ribosomal RNA is filed under the name uncultured prokaryote. RNAcentral describes it as "partial 16S ribosomal RNA". It matches the Rfam family "Bacterial small subunit ribosomal RNA", at positions 524 to 776 of the family's 1533-position model. The record is from RNAcentral.